AUUGAACGCUGGCGGCAGGCCUAACACAUGCAAGUCGAGCGGAUGAAGGGAGCUUGCUCCUGGAUUCAGCGGCGGACGGGUGAGUAAUGCCUAGGAAUCUGCCUGGUAGUGGGGGAUAACGUCCGGAAACGGGCGCUAAUACCGCAUACGUCCUGAGGGAGAAAGUGGGGGAUCUUCGGACCUCACGCUAUCAGAUGAGCCUAGGUCGGAUUAGCUAGUUGGUGGGGUAAAGGCCUACCAAGGCGACGAUCCGUAACUGGUCUGAAAGGAUGAUCAGUCACACUGGAACUGAGACACGGUCCAGACUCCUACGGGAGGCAGCAGUGGGGAAUAUUGGACAAAGGGCGAAAGCCUGAUCCAGCCAUGCCGCGUGUGUGAAGAAGGUCUUCGGAUUGUAAAGCACUUUAAGUUGGGAGGAAGGGCAGUAAGUUAAUACCUUGCUGUUUUGACGUUACCAACAGAAUAAGCACCGGCUAACUUCGUG
Molecule: ribosomal RNA, 484 nt
Filed under: uncultured bacterium
Lineage: Bacteria
Description: partial 16S ribosomal RNA
Rfam family: Bacterial small subunit ribosomal RNA
Source: RNAcentral